AGUGAACGCUGGCGGUAGGCCUAACACAUGCAAGUCGAACGGCAGCACAGUAAGAGCUUGCUCUUACGGGUGGCGAGUAGCGGACGGGUGAGGAAUACAUCGGAAUCUACUUUUUCGUGGGGGAUAACGUAGGGAAACUUACGCUAAUACCGCAUACGACCUACGGGUGAAAGCAGGGGAUCUUCGGACCUUGCGCGAUUGAAUGAGCCGAUGUCGGAUUAGCUAGUUGGCGAGGUAAAGGCCCACCAAGGCGACGAUCCGUAGCUGGUCUGAGAGGAUGAUCAGCCACACUGGAACUGAGACACGGUCCAGACUCCUACGGGAGGCAGCAGUGGGGAAUAUUGGACAAUGGGCGCAAGCCUGAUCCAGCCAUACCGCGUGGGUGAAGAAGGCCUUCGGGUUGUAAAGCCCUUUUGUUGGGAAAGAAAAGCAGCAGGUUAAUACCCCGCUGUUCUGACGGUACCCAAAGAAUAAGCACCGGCUAACUUCGUG
This 492-nucleotide ribosomal RNA is filed under the name uncultured bacterium. RNAcentral's name for it is "partial 16S ribosomal RNA". It matches the Rfam family "Bacterial small subunit ribosomal RNA", at positions 29 to 507 of the family's 1533-position model. The record is from RNAcentral.